UACGUAGGUGGCAAGCGUUAUCCGGAAUUAUUGGGCGUAAAGCGCGCGCAGGCGGUUUCUUAAGUCUGAUGUGAAAGCCCACGGCUCAACCGUGGAGGGCCAUUGGAAACUGGGGAACUUGAGUGCAGAAGAGAAAAGCGGAAUUCCACGUGUAGCGGUGAAAUGCGUAGAGAUGUGGAGGAACACCAGUGGCGAAGGCGGCUUUUUGGUCUGUAACUGACGCUGAGGCGCGAAAGCGUGGGGAGCAAACAGG
RNAcentral lists this ribosomal RNA (253 nucleotides) under uncultured bacterium. RNAcentral describes it as "partial 16S ribosomal RNA". It matches the Rfam family "Bacterial small subunit ribosomal RNA", at positions 524 to 776 of the family's 1533-position model. The record is from RNAcentral.